UUAAGCGACUAAGCGUACACGGUGGAUGCCCUGGCAGUCAGAGGCGAUGAAGGACGUGCUAAUCUGCGAAAAGCGUCGGUAAGGUGAUAUGAACCGUUAUAACCGGCGAUGUCCGAAUGGGGAAACCCAGUGUGAUUCGUCACACUAUCGUUAACUGAAUACAUAGGUUAACGAGGCGAACCGGGGGAACUGAAACAUCUAAGUACCCCGAGGAAAAGAAAUCAACCGAGAUUCCCCCAGUAGCGGCGAGCGAACGGGGAGCAGCCCAGAGUCUGAAUCAGCUUGUGUGUUAGUGGAACGGUCUGGAAAGUCCGACGGUACAGGGUGAUAGUCCCGUACACCAAAAUGCACAGGUUGUGAACUCGAAGAGUAGGGCGGGACACGUGGUAUCCUGUCUGAAUAUGGGGGGACCAUCCUCCAAGGCUAAAUACUCCUGACUGACCGAUAGUGAACCAGUACCGUGAGGGAAAGGCGAAAAGAACCCCGGCGAGGGGAGUGAAAAAGAACCUGAAACCGUGUACGUACAAGCAGUGGGAGCACCUUCGGGUGUGACUGCGUACCUUUUGUAUAAUGGGUCAGCGACUUAUAUUCUGUAGCAAGGUUAACCGUAUAGGGGAGCCGCAGGGAAACCGAGUCUUAACUGGGCGUUAAGUUGCAGGGUAUAGACCCGAAACCCGGUGAUCUAGCCAUGGGCAGGUUGAAGGUUGGGUAACACUAACUGGAGGACCGAACCGACUAAUGUUGAAAAAUUAGCGGAUGACUUGUGGCUGGGGGUGAAAGGCCAAUCAAACCGGGAGAUAGCUGGUUCUCCCCGAAAGCUAUUUAGGUAGCGCCUCGUGAACUCAUCUUCGGGGGUAGAGCACUGUUUCGGCUAGGGGGUCAUCCCGACUUACCAACCCGAUGCAAACUACGAAUACCGAAGAAUGUUAUCACGGGAGACACACGGCGGGUGCUAACGUCCGUCGUGAAGAGGGAAACAACCCAGACCGCCAGCUAAGGUCCCAAAGUCAUGGUUAAGUGGGAAACGAUGUGGGAAGGCACAGACAGCCAGGAUGUUGGCUUAGAAGCAGCCAUCAUUUAAAGAAAGCGUAAUAGCUCACUGGUCGAGUCGGCCUGCGCGGAAGAUGUAACGGGGCUAAACCAUGCACCGAAGCUGCGGCAGCGACACUAUGUGUUGUUGGGUAGGGGAGCGUUCUGUAAGCCUGCGAAGGUGACCUGUGAGGGUUGCUGGAGGUAUCAGAAGUGCGAAUGCUGACAUAAGUAACGAUAAAGCGGGUGAAAAGCCCGCUCGCCGGAAGACCAAGGGUUCCUGUCCAACGUUAAUCGGGGCAGGGUGAGUCGACCCCUAAGGCGAGGCCGAAAGGCGUAGUCGAUGGGAAACAGGUUAAUAUUCCUGUACUUGGUGUUACUGCGAAGGGGGGACGGAGAAGGCUAUGUUAGCCGGGCGACGGUUGUCCCGGUUUAAGCAUGUAGGCUGAUUGUCCAGGCAAAUCCGGAUAAUCAAGGCUGAGGUGUGAUGACGAGGCACUACGGUGCUGAAGUAACAAAUGCCCUGCUUCCAGGAAAAGCCUCUAAGCAUCAGGUAACAUCAAAUCGUACCCCAAACCGACACAGGUGGUCAGGUAGAGAAUACCAAGGCGCUUGAGAGAACUCGGGUGAAGGAACUAGGCAAAAUGGUGCCGUAACUUCGGGAGAAGGCACGCUGGUGUGUAGGUGAAGUCCCUGCGGAUGGAGCUGAGACCAGUCGAAGAUACCAGCUGGCUGCAACUGUUUAUUAAAAACACAGCACUGUGCAAACACGAAAGUGGACGUAUACGGUGUGACGCCUGCCCGGUGCCGGAAGGUUAAUUGAUGGGGUUAUCCGUAAGGAGAAGCUCUUGAUCGAAGCCCCGGUAAACGGCGGCCGUAACUAUAACGGUCCUAAGGUAGCGAAAUUCCUUGUCGGGUAAGUUCCGACCUGCACGAAUGGCGUAAUGAUGGCCAGGCUGUCUCCACCCGAGACUCAGUGAAAUUGAACUCGCUGUGAAGAUGCAGUGUACCCGCGGCAAGACGGAAAGACCCCGUGAACCUUUACUAUAGCUUGACACUGAACAUUGAGCCUUGAUGUGUAGGAUAGGUGGGAGGCUUUGAAGCGUGGACGCCAGUCUGCGUGGAGCCAACCUUGAAAUACCACCCUUUAAUGUUUGAUGUUCUAACGUUGGCCCCUUACCGGGGUUGCGGACAGUGUCUGGUGGGUAGUUUGACUGGGGCGGUCUCCUCCCAAAGCGUAACGGAGGAGCACGAAGGUUAGCUAAUCCUGGUCGGACAUCAGGAGGUUAGUGCAAUGGCAUAAGCUAGCUUGACUGCGAGCGUGACGGCGCGAGCAGGUGCGAAAGCAGGUCAUAGUGAUCCGGUGGUUCUGAAUGGAAGGGCCAUCGCUCAACGGAUAAAAGGUACUCCGGGGAUAACAGGCUGAUACCGCCCAAGAGUUCAUAUCGACGGCGGUGUUUGGCACCUCGAUGUCGGCUCAUCACAUCCUGGGGCUGAAGUAGGUCCCAAGGGUAUGGCUGUUCGCCAUUUAAAGUGGUACGCGAGCUGGGUUUAGAACGUCGUGAGACAGUUCGGUCCCUAUCUGCCGUGGACGCUGGAGAAUUGAGGGGGGCUGCUCCUAGUACGAGAGGACCGGAGUGGACGCAUCACUGGUGUUCGGGUUGUCAUGCCAAUGGCACUGCCCGGUAGCUAAAUGCGGAAGAGAUAAGUGCUGAAAGCAUCUAAGCACGAAACUUGCCCCGAGAUGAGUUCUCCCUGAGACUUUAAGUCUCCUGAAGGAACGUUAAAGACGAUGACGUUGAUAGGCCGGGUGUGUAAGCGCAGCGAUGCGUUGAGCUAACCGGUACUAAUGAACCGUGAGGCUUAACCUU
This 2900-nucleotide ribosomal RNA is filed under the name Klebsiella pneumoniae. Its description in RNAcentral is "23S ribosomal RNA". It matches the Rfam family "Bacterial large subunit ribosomal RNA". The record is from RNAcentral. Lineage: Bacteria; Pseudomonadati; Pseudomonadota; Gammaproteobacteria; Enterobacterales; Enterobacteriaceae.